GGCACUUUGGCGGAGUGGUUAACGCGCUGCCCUGCUAAGGCAGUUCCGUAAGUUUCACAUCAGCAUCACCUGAGCCGCAAACGCAUCAUUCUAACAUACUCAAAGUUCGGGAGCGUGUGUUCGAAUCACACAGGUGUCG
Molecule: non-coding RNA, 139 nt
Organism: Dissoconium aciculare CBS 342.82
Lineage: Eukaryota; Fungi; Ascomycota; Dothideomycetes; Mycosphaerellales; Dissoconiaceae
Source: the annotation of a RefSeq genome assembly